This is a non-coding RNA of Halorientalis sp. IM1011, 74 nucleotides long. The record is from Rfam. NCBI's taxonomy places the organism in Archaea, Methanobacteriati, Methanobacteriota, Halobacteria, Halobacteriales, Haloarculaceae.
GGGCCCCUAGCUCAAUCGGCAGAGCAGCGUCCUGGCAGGACGAAGGCUCCGGGUUCGAGUCCCGGGGGUGUCCA